This 434-nucleotide ribosomal RNA is filed under the name uncultured bacterium. RNAcentral's name for it is "partial 16S ribosomal RNA". It matches the Rfam family "Bacterial small subunit ribosomal RNA", at positions 29 to 507 of the family's 1533-position model. The record is from RNAcentral.
AGCGAACGCUGGCGGCAGGCCUAACACAUGCAAGUCGAACGAACCUUUCGGGGUUAGUGGCGGACGGGUGAGUAACACGUGGGAACGUGCCUUUAGGUUCGGAAUAACUCAGGGAAACUUGUGCUAAUACCGAAUGUGCCCUUCGGGGGAAAGAUUUAUCGCCUUUAGAGCGGCCCGCGUCUGAUUAGCUAGUUGGUUGAGGUAAUGGCUCACCAAGGCGACGAUCAGUAGCUGGUCGGAGAGGAUGAUCAGCCACAUUGGGACUGAGACACGGCCCAAACUCCUACGGGAGGCAGCAGAGGGGAAUCUUGCGCAAUGGGCGAAAGCCUGACGCAGCCAUGCCGCGUGAAUGAUGAAGGUCUUAGGAUUGUAAAAUUCUUUCACCGGGGACGAUAAUGACGGUACCCGGAGAAGAAGCCCCGGCUAACUUCGUG